UACAGAGGGUGCGAGCGUUGUCCGGAAUCACUGGGCGUAAAGGGCGCGUAGGCGGCUUGACAAGCGUGCGGUGAAAGCUCGGGGCUCAACCCCGAGUCGGCCGUGCGAACUGUCGAGCUCGAGCACAGUAGAGGCAGAUGGAAUUCCGGGUGUAGCGGUGGAAUGCGUAGAGAUCCGGAAGAACACCGGUGGCGAAGGCGGUCUGCUGGGCUGUGGCUGACGCUGAGGCGCGACAGCGUGGGGAGCAAACAGGAUUAGAAACCCUAGUAGUCC
RNAcentral lists this ribosomal RNA (273 nucleotides) under uncultured bacterium. RNAcentral describes it as "partial 16S ribosomal RNA". It matches the Rfam family "Bacterial small subunit ribosomal RNA", at positions 524 to 796 of the family's 1533-position model. The record is from RNAcentral.